CCUACGGGAGGCAGCAGUAGGGAAUAUUGCUCAAUGGGGGAAACCCUGAAGCAGCAACGCCGCGUGGAGGAUGACGGUUUUCGGAUUGUAAACUCCUUUUGUUAGAGAAGAUAAUGACGGUAUCUAACGAAUAAGCACCGGCUAACUCCGUGCCAGCAGCCGCGGUAAUACGGAGGGUGCAAGCGUUACUCGGAAUCACUGGGCGUAAAGAGCGCGGAGGCGGGAUAGCAAGUCAGAUGUGAAAUCCUAUGGCUUAACCAUAGAACUACAUUUGAAACUGUUAUUCUAGAGUAUGGGAGAGGUAGGUGGAAUUCUGGGUGUAGGGGUAAAAUGCGUAGAGAUCAAGAGGAAUACUCAUUGCGAAGGCGACCUGCUAGAACAUAACUGACGCUGAUGCGCGAAAGCGUGGGGAGCAAACAGGAUUAGAUACCCGAGUAGUC
RNAcentral lists this ribosomal RNA (440 nucleotides) under uncultured bacterium. Its description in RNAcentral is "partial 16S ribosomal RNA". It matches the Rfam family "Bacterial small subunit ribosomal RNA", at positions 338 to 795 of the family's 1533-position model. The record is from RNAcentral.